UCAAUGGGUUCUUAGAUCGUACCCACGUUACUUGGAUAACUGUGGUAAUUCUAGAGCUAAUACAUGCCGACAGAGUUCCGACCAGCUGUUCGGAUGUGCGACGGCCUCGCGUCGUUCGUCGCCGUUCGGUUCGGAAGGAACGCUUUUAUUAGAUCAAAACCGGCUAAACGGCGGUUUCGCUCUUGCAGCGUUUACCGUCGUAAGCGGCCCGCGCAAAGAUUUGGUGACUCUGAAUAACUUCGAGCUGAUCGCACGGUCUUCGUACCGGCGACGUAUCUUUCAAAUGUCUGCCUUAUCAACUGUCGACGGUAGGUUCGACGCCUACCGUGGUGGUAACGGGUAACGGGGAAUCAGGGUUCGAUUCCGGAGAGGGAGCCUGAGAAACGGCUACCACAUCUAAGGAAGGCAGCAGGCGCGCAAAUUACCCACUCCCAGCUCGGGGAGGUAGUGACGAAAAAUAACGAUACGGGACUCAUUCGAGGCCCCGUAAUCGGAUAAAUUUACACUUAA
RNAcentral lists this ribosomal RNA (510 nucleotides) under Ferrisia malvastra. Its description in RNAcentral is "bacterial SSU rRNA". It matches the Rfam family "Eukaryotic small subunit ribosomal RNA", at positions 109 to 528 of the family's 1831-position model. Lineage: Eukaryota; Metazoa; Arthropoda; Insecta; Hemiptera; Pseudococcidae. The record is from RNAcentral.